Molecule: non-coding RNA, 75 nt
Organism: Streptomyces albus
Lineage: Bacteria; Bacillati; Actinomycetota; Actinomycetes; Kitasatosporales; Streptomycetaceae
Rfam family: ASpks TB sRNA
Source: Rfam
CUUCACCGAGCCCAGCCAGAGCGGGUUCUCGGCGUCGUGUUCCCGGCCGUACGUCGCCAGCAGCGCCUGCGCCUC